Molecule: transfer RNA, 98 nt
Filed under: Biscogniauxia mediterranea
Lineage: Eukaryota; Fungi; Ascomycota; Sordariomycetes; Xylariales; Xylariaceae
Description: tRNA-Glu
Source: RNAcentral
UCCGAAUUGGUGUAGUGGUCAACAUUUGACGCUCUCAACCUGUAUGUUCUCAACCUGUAUGAACCGUCAAGCCCGGUGCUCGAUUCCCCGAUUCCGAA